Molecule: ribosomal RNA, 1359 nt
Filed under: human gut metagenome
Description: bacterial LSU rRNA
Rfam family: Bacterial large subunit ribosomal RNA
Source: RNAcentral
GGGCUAGCCUCAUACAAGUCUUGCGGAGGUAGAGCACUGAAUUUCCUAGGGGGCGUCAAAGCUUACCGAAGAAUAUCAAACUCCGAAUGCCGCGUAGAUGGUGUAUGGGAGUCAGACUGCACGAGAUAAGUUGGGUAGUCAAAAGGGAAAGAGCCCAGACCUGCAGCUAAGGUCCCAAAAUGUGUGUUAAGUGGAAAAGGAUGUGGGAUUUCGAAGACAACUAGGAUGUUGGCUCAGAAGCAGCCAUACAUUCAAAGAGUGCGUAAUAGCUCACUAGUCGAGAGGUCCUGCGCCGAAAAUGUCCGGGGCUGAAACACACUGCCGAAGCUCAGGAAUGUACUUGUACAUUGGUAGAGGAGCAUUGUAUACGGGAAGAAGCAGUACCGAUAAGGAGCUGUGGACUGUAUAGAAGAGAGAAUGCCGGAAUGAGUAGCGAGAGGAAGGUGAGAAUCCUUCCGGCCGAAUAUCUAAGGUUUCCAGAGUAAAGCUGAUCUGCUCUGGGUAAGUCGGGGCCUAAGGCCAGGUCGAAAGACGUAACCGAUGGACAACAGGUUGAAAUUCCUGUACCGCGAUAUAACAGAACUGUGGGGACACGUGUGGAGAGCACAAGCCGGGAAUGGAGAGCCCGGCGCAAGCGAGGUAGGAGUCGUACCGGCAAAUCCGUACGGCAAUCCGAAGACGUGAUGCGUACCGAAAUAGAAGUAGGGAAGAGUGUGAGCCAUGCGUCAAGAAAAGCCGCUAUUGUUUGUAUCGCGCCCGUACCGUAAACCGACACAGGUGGAUGAGGAGAGAAUCCUAAGGCCGACGGGAGAAGCAUUGUUAAGGAACUCGGCAAAAUGACUCCGUAACUUCGGGAGAAGGAGUGCCAGUGAGAGCUGGCCGCAGAGAAUUGGCCCAAGCAACUGUUUAGCAAAAACACAGGUCUAUGCAAAACCGAAAGGUGAAGUAUAUGGGCUGACGCCUGCCCGGUGCUGGAAGGUUAAGGGGAGAGGUUAGCGCAAGCGAAGCUUUGAACUUAAGCCCCAGUAAACGGCGGCCGUAACUAUAACGGUCCUAAGGUAGCGAAAUUCCUUGUCGGGUAAGUUCCGACCCGCACGAAAGGCGUAAUGAUUUGGGCACUGUCUCAACAAUGCACCCGGUGAAAUUGAAAUACCAGUGAAGAUGCUGGUUACCUGCGCCAGGACGGAAAGACCCCAUGGAGCUUUACUCCAGCUUGAUACUGGGAUUCGGUAUUGCAUGUACAGGAUAGGUGGGAGGCUAGGAAGUGAUGACGCCAGUUGUCACAGAGCCGCUGUUGGGAUACCACCCUUGCAGUAUUGGAUUUCUAACCAGAGGCCGUGAACCGGUCUGGGGACAAUG